GAUUUUAAGCAAGCAUUUGAAAUGACGUGAGGCAAGCUGAGGAAGGGUGUGGGGGCCAGCUGAAUUUUACAUCCUUCUCUUAGCUACCUUUCCUGCUGUACAACCUGGAGCUGGUGCAGCAAUUUGCAGUCAUUUUCUUUCUCCCACCCACUAAAUACCAAAUUGAUUCAAGUCAUGCUGCUUACCUGCAACACCCAUUUGCUGGGAGAAUGCUACAGUAUUAAUUGUCAAGUGCAUUUUCCCUUCACACAUCUGGCCUCCAACCCCUAAAUGCUGGCUGAAUUGCAAUUAUCUUCUUUUCUCCGUAAGUUGCCUUUGGGUCUCUUUUUUGAAAGAGAGACAGAGAAAGAAAUCCCCUCAAGCAAAUUGCUGUGUCAGGUUAAUUCCUGUCAUCAUCUGUAUGCUUCCCAAUUGCCAGCUACUUAUAUGUCUUAGGGAGUGAUGCUUUCAACUGUCUAGUAAGCAGGACUUCAGCAGAUGAAUUCUCUCUCUGGCCUGAAGUUAAAACUUUUAGGCAGAUAUAAUCCCACACCAUCCACCCAAUUUGGCAAAGGCAAUACUAAUUAAUACUCUGUCACCUCACUUUUUCAGCUGCAUUAAAAAUGUCUCAGUUUCUUCCUUCCACUGUCCCUUUUUAUCCUCAGGGCCCGUCCUGAUAGUACAGUAGAGUCUCACUUAUCCAACAUAAACGGGCCGGCAGAACUUUGAAUAAGCGAAUGUGUUGGAUAAUAAGGAGAGAUUAAGGAGAAGCCUAUUAAACACCAAAUUAGGUUAUGGUUUUACAAAUUAAGCACCAAACCAUCAUGUUAUACAACAAAUUUGACAGAAAAAGUAGUUCAAUAUGCAGUAAUGCUACAUAGUAAUUACUGUAUUUAUGAAUUUAGCACCAAAAUAUCACAAUGUAUUGAAAACAUUGACUACAAAAAUGUGUUGGAUAAUCCAGAACGUUGGAUAAGUGAAUGUUGGAUAAAUGAGACUCUACCGUACCUUUAUCCCAGGAGCUCCCGCAGCAACCAGGCGGGUGGCCAGACACCGUUCCCUGUAAACCCAGAAGCAAUCGCUACAAAAGGCAAAAAACAUGAGAUUUCUAGUUGCAGGAAUAUCACGGUUUUUAGCCAAAUAUCCAGAUAUUCGCAUGUCUGUAUGUCCCUGCAAUUGGAAAUCAUAGAUUUUUUUAUCUGGGAUUGUUCCUGGGUUUUAAAUAUUUGUUCCUGAUUGGUCAGUUCCUAAAAAGAAGGUGACACUUGACUAGAAGGCAAAAACUUCAUCCUGGGAAGAAGAACUUUGUCCUUCAUGUGUUUAAUGAAGUUUGUGGCAGAAAAAUGAAGUUCCUGGGGAUCAACAAGUAUUUUCACAUUAAAUAGUACACAAUGAAACAGGAACAGACACUUUCAAACCAGGAACAGAAUACCACCAUUACUAUAAUUACUUAGACCUUGUUGUAUGGCCAUCUGUGCAGACAAGUUUUGUGGUAUACUUGUGCUAGGGAACAAUAGGAUGAUGUUGCCGGGUUAUACAUGUUGGUUUCUCAUUGGGUGUAUGCUGACAACAUGGGUACAGUUUAGUAAAUGGCAAAAACUUAGUACUGGCUGUUGGGACAUUGACAUACUGGAGAGAAAUGUAAAUACUGAUAGCCAAGGUCAUACAGGUGGCUAAUAGAAACAGUCAUGUAUAACCCAGGAACGGCACCCUAUUGUUCGAUGCCAAAAGUCCACAACCAAAUCUGUCUGGACAGAUGGCCAGGCAGCCAGGCUCUAAAAAGUGUCAAUAAUGACAAAGUUCUGUUCCUGGCUUGAAAGCAUGUGUUCCUGUUUCAUUGUGUACUGCUGACUUGAGCAGUAGUGACCCUAUGCCAUUGGGUCUGUUAGUGUGGCAGAUACUUCAUGAAAUGUCUGGAGGGCACCAUUUCUCUGGCCAGGACAGAGAACUGAAAUUUUGCAGCGAUCCGCAUAUCCGAAUCUCCACAUAUCUGCAUCUUACCAGUUUUUUAAAUAAAAAAAAAACUGCCAAGGUCUCCGGUGGAAGUCCCGUGGCAGCCAUCUUGGGAGCCUCAAAAUUUCAGAACAAGGCAGCAAGUCUGGACAAUUGAGGCAGAAAACCCAGGACUAACAGGUCUGUAUGUGGACCUCUUCUGAAGUCCUGGGAUCUUUUUCCUGGGAUUUUUAAAACCCGUGAUUUAGUGCUGUCUGGAAGCACCCUCAUAGCACUUCUACAUAGACACUACAAUGCAGUUUGAAGCCAGCUUGAGAGCAGAACAAAAUGCACACCUGCAAUGCAUGCUGCAGUGUGCAUCAAACCAGAAGCAGCACAUUUUUGAAAACUCACCAGAACGUCCAGAAUAAGCCAAUUAAUGCAUUGCAGCUGACCAGAGUGUAUCCCAUGCAGGACCCAAAAACAGAACAAGAAAAUGUGGAGCACUUUUCAGGACAUCCCUAGCACUGGAGAACUUUUUAAAAAUCUGAAACACAACUGGCCAGAAGCCUAAGGAAGGGAGGAAGGAGAAGCCAAAGGAAGAGAAAAGGAGCCCAAGCGGCAACGGGAGGAGAAGGAGGUGAUUUAUCAACACACGAUUGGUUAAUAAAGACUUAAAAUAGUGUAUAACUACUACAAUAAUGUAUAACUAUUAAAAUAAAUAUAGUGUC
Long non-coding RNA from Anolis carolinensis (green anole), 2642 nucleotides. RefSeq lists it as uncharacterized. The record is from RefSeq and is a predicted model, not a curated record. NCBI's taxonomy places the organism in Eukaryota, Metazoa, Chordata, Lepidosauria, Squamata, Anolidae. The transcript is spliced from 2 exons.